RNAcentral lists this ribosomal RNA (506 nucleotides) under uncultured bacterium. RNAcentral describes it as "partial 16S ribosomal RNA". It matches the Rfam family "Bacterial small subunit ribosomal RNA", at positions 29 to 523 of the family's 1533-position model. The record is from RNAcentral.
AGUGAACGCUGGCGGCAGGCCUAACACAUGCAAGUCGAACGGCAGCACAGCAGUAGCAAUACUGUGGGUGGCGAGUGGCGGACGGGUGAGUAAUGCAUGGGGAGCUGCCCAGUCGAGGGGGAUAACAACUGGAAACGGUUGCUAAUACCGCAUACGCCCUAAGGGGGAAAGGUGGGGAACUUCGGUCCUACCGCGAUUGGAUGCGCCCAUGUGGGAUUAGCUAGUUGGUGAGGUAACGGCUCACCAAGGCGACGAUCUCUAGCUGGUCUGAGAGGAUGACCGGCCACACGGGAACUGGGACACGGUCCAGACUCCUACGGGAGGCAGCAGUGGGGAAUAUUGCACAAUGGGGGAAACCCUGAUGCAGCCAUGCCGCGUGUGUGAAGAAGGCCUUCGGGUUGUAAAGCACUUUCAGUCAGGAGGAAGGGGUGAUGGCUAAUAUCCAUCAUCAUUGACGUUACUGACAGAAGAAGCACCGGCUAACUCCGUGCCAGCAGCCGCGGUAA